RNAcentral lists this ribosomal RNA (906 nucleotides) under Hypoxylon notatum. Its description in RNAcentral is "LSU rRNA". It matches the Rfam family "Eukaryotic large subunit ribosomal RNA", at positions 38 to 966 of the family's 3401-position model. The record is from RNAcentral. Lineage: Eukaryota; Fungi; Ascomycota; Sordariomycetes; Xylariales; Hypoxylaceae.
GCAUAUCAAUAAGCGGAGGAAAAGAAACCAACAGGGAUUGCCCUUAGUAACGGCGAAGUGAAGCGGCAACAGCUCAAAUUUGAAAUCUGGCCCCUCGCGGUCCGAGUUGUAAUUUGUAGAGGAUGCUUUGGGCGCGGCGCCUUCCGAGUUCCCUGGAACGGGACGCCAGAGAGGGUGAGAGCCCCGUACGGUUGGACGCCUAGCCUAUGUAUAGCUCCUUCGACGAGUCGAGUAGUUUGGGAAUGCUGCUCUAAAUGGGAGGUAAAUUUCUUCUAAAGCUAAAUACCGGCCAGAGACCGAUAGCGCACAAGUAGAGUGAUCGAAAGAUGAAAAGCACUUUGAAAAGAGGGUUAAAUAGCACGUGAAAUUGUUGAAAGGGAAGCGUUUGCGACCAGACCUUCUCCGGGGGGAUCAUCCGGUGUUCUCACCGGUGCACUCCCCUCGGUCUAGGCCAGCAUCGGUUUCCUUAGGGGGAUAAAGGCCUGGGGAACGUAGCUCCUUCGGGAGUGUUAUAGCCCCUUGCGUAAUACCCCUCGGGGGACCGAGGACCGCGCUUCGGCAAGGAUGCUGGCGUAAUGGUCGUCAACGACCCGUCUUGAAACACGGACCAAGGAGUCGAACAUUUGUGCGAGUGUUUGGGUGUCAAACCCUCACGCGUAAUGAAAGUGAACGGAGGUGAGAGCCCUCGCGGGUGCAUCAUCGACCGAUCCUGAUGUCUUCGGAUGGAUUUGAGUAAGAGCAUAACUGUUCGGACCCGAAAGAUAGUGAACUAUGCGUGGAUAGGGUGAAGCCAGAGGAAACUCUGGUGGAGGCUCGCAGCGGUUCUGACGUGCAAAUCGAUCGUCAAAUCUGCGCAUGGGGGGCGAAAGACUAAUCGAACUAUCUAGUAGCUGGUUACCGCCGAAG